GAUGAACGCUGGCGGCGUGCCUAAUACAUGCAAGUCGAGCGAACAGAUGAGGAGCUUGCUCCUCUGACGUUAGCGGCGGACGGGUGAGUAACACGUGGAUAACCUACCUCUCAGACUGGGAUGCCUGCGGGACACCGGAGCUAAUACCGGAUAAUAUCUUGAACCGCGUGGUUCAGUAGUGAAAGACGGUUUUGCUUUCACUCAUAGCUUAAUCCGCGCCGCAUUAGCUAGUUGGUAAGGUAACGGCUUACCAAGGCGACGAUGCGUAGCCGACCUGAGAGGGUGAACGGCCACACUGGAACUGAGACACGGUCCUGACUCCGACGGGAGGCAGCAGUAGGGAAUCGUCCGCAAUGGGCGAAAGCCUGACGGAGCAACGCCGCGUGAGUGAUGAAGGUCUUCGGAUCGUAAAACUCUGUUAUUAGGGAAGAACAAAUGUGUAAGUAACUAUGCACGUCUUGACGGUACCUAAUCAGAAAGCCACGGCUAACUACGUG
This 497-nucleotide ribosomal RNA is filed under the name uncultured bacterium. Its description in RNAcentral is "partial 16S ribosomal RNA". It matches the Rfam family "Bacterial small subunit ribosomal RNA", at positions 28 to 507 of the family's 1533-position model. The record is from RNAcentral.